UUCCGGUUGAUCCUGCCGGACCUGACUGCUAUCGGAUUGAUACUAAGCCAUGCGAGUCUUUGUAGUAAUACAAGGCAGACGGCUCAGUAACACGUAGUCAACCUACCCUAUGGACGAGAAUAAUCUCGGGAAACUGAGCAUAAUUCUCGAUAGAUCAUAAUGCCUGGAAUGGUUUAUGGUUAAAAUGAUUCGUCGCCAUAGGAUGGGACUGCGGCCUAUCAGCUUGUUGGUGAGGUAAUGGCCCACCAAGGCGAUUACAGGUACGGGCUCUGAGAGGAGAAGCCCGGAGAUGGGUACUGAGACACGGACCCAGGCCCUAUGGGGCGCAGCAGGCGAGAAAACUUUGCAAUGUGCGAAAGCACGACAAGGUUAAUCCGAGUGAUUUCUGCUAAAGAAAUCUUUUGCCAGUCGUAAAACCACUGGUGAAUAAGGGGUGGGCAAGUUCUGGUGUCAGCCGCCGCGGUAAAACCAGCACCUCAAGUGGUCAGGAUGAUUAUUGGGCCUAAAGCAUCCGUAGCCGGCUUUGUUAGUUUUCGGUUAAAUCCAUGUGCUCAACGCAUGGGCUGCCGAAAAUACUGCAUCGCUAGGGAGUGGGAGAGGUAGACGGUACUCAGUAGGAAGGGGUAAAAUCCUUUGAUCUAUUGAUGACCACCUGUGGCGAAGGCGGUCUACCAGAACACGUUCGACGGUGAGGGAUGAAAGCUGGGGGAGCAAACCGGAUUAGAUACCCGGGUAGUCCCAGCUGUAAACGAUGCAGACUCGAUGAUGCAUUGGCAUAAUAGCCAAUGCAGUGUCGCAGGGAAGCCGUUAAGUCUGCCGCCUGGGAAGUACGUACGCAAGUAUGAAACUUAAAGGAAUUGGCGGGGGAGCACCACAAGGGGUGAAGCCUGCGGUUCAAUUGGAGUCAACGCCGGGA
RNAcentral lists this ribosomal RNA (916 nucleotides) under uncultured archaeon. RNAcentral describes it as "SSU rRNA". It matches the Rfam family "Archaeal small subunit ribosomal RNA", at positions 1 to 923 of the family's 1478-position model. The record is from RNAcentral.